GGANUGGGCGAAGCCUGACGCAGCGACGCCGCGUGGGGGACGAAGCCCUUCGGGGUGUAAACCCCUUUCGACCCGGACGAAGUCCCGCAAGGGAUCGACGGUACGGGAUGAAGAAGCCCCGGCUAACUACGUGCCAGCAGCCGCGGUAAGACGUAGGGGGCCAGCGUUGCUCGGAAUUACUGGGCGUAAAGAGUCUGUAGGCGGUGCGGCAAGUCGGGAGUGAAAUCUCGGGGCUUAACUCCGAGUCUGCUUCCGAAACUGCCGUGCUCGAGUGCGGGAGAGGUGAGUGGAAUUGCAGGUGUAGCGGUGAAAUGCGUAGAUAUCUGCAGGAACACCAGAGGCGAAGGCGGCUCACUGGACCGCAACUGACGCUGGGAGACGAAAGCUAGGGGAGCAAACAGGAUUAGAUACCCUGGUAGUCCUAGCCCUAAACCAUCAGGACUUGGCGUGGGUCCCGUUCGGGGCCCGUGUCGGAGCUAACGUGUGAAGUCCUGCGCCUGGGGAGUACGGUCGCAAGGCUGAAACUCAAAAAAAUUGACGGA
Molecule: ribosomal RNA, 542 nt
Filed under: uncultured bacterium
Lineage: Bacteria
Description: bacterial SSU rRNA
Rfam family: Bacterial small subunit ribosomal RNA
Source: RNAcentral